Molecule: ribosomal RNA, 465 nt
Filed under: Vreelandella stevensii
Lineage: Bacteria; Pseudomonadati; Pseudomonadota; Gammaproteobacteria; Oceanospirillales; Halomonadaceae
Description: partial 16S ribosomal RNA
Rfam family: Bacterial small subunit ribosomal RNA
Source: RNAcentral
CCUACGGGCGGCAGCAGUGGGGAAUAUUGGACAAUGGGGGCAACCCUGAUCCAGCCAUGCCGCGUGUGUGAAGAAGGCCCUCGGGUUGUAAAGCACUUUCAGUGAGGAAGAACACCUGGUGGUUAAUACCCAUCAGGAAAGACAUCACUCACAGAAGAAGCACCGGCUAACUCCGUGCCAGCAGCCGCGGUAAUACGGAGGGUGCGAGCGUUAAUCGGAAUUACUGGGCGUAAAGCGCGCGUAGGUGGCUUGAUAAGCCGGUUGUGAAAGCCCCGGGCUCAACCUGGGAACGGCAUCCGGAACUGUCAAGCUAGAGUGCAGGAGAGGAAGGUAGAAUUCCCGGUGUAGCGGUGAAAUGCGUAGAGAUCGGGAGGAAUACCAGUGGCGAAGGCGGCCUUCUGGACUGACACUGACACUGAGGUGCGAAAGCGUGGGUAGCAAACAGGAUUAGAUACCCCAGUAGUC